RNAcentral lists this ribosomal RNA (451 nucleotides) under uncultured bacterium. RNAcentral describes it as "partial 16S ribosomal RNA". It matches the Rfam family "Bacterial small subunit ribosomal RNA", at positions 30 to 507 of the family's 1533-position model. The record is from RNAcentral.
AGCGAACGCUGGCGGCAUGCCUAACACAUGCAAGUCGCACGGGGGGGCUUUGGCCUCCCAGUGGCGGACGGGUGAGGAACGCGUAGGGACCUGUCGAGGGGUGGGGGAUAACCGCGGGAAACUGCGGCUAAUACCGCCUGACGCCGCGACCUGACAGCCGGGGCCAAAGGCGAAAGCCGCGCUCCGAGGGGCCUGCGUCCGAUUAGCUGGUUGGCGGGGUAGCGGCCCACCAAGGCGUCGAUCGGUACAUGGGCCGAGAGGGUGAUCAGCCACACCGGGACUGGGACGCAGCCCGGACUCCUACAGGAGGCAGGAGAGGGUGAUACUGCACAACGGGGGGAAGGCAGAUGGAGCUAGGCUGGGAGAGUGAAGAAGGUGUGAGGAUAGUGAAGCCGGUUCAGCGGGGACGAUGGUGACGGUACCCGAAGAAGAAGCCCCGGCUAACUUCGUG